CAGUCGAGCGGUGACUGAUCCAGCUUGCUGGAUGCUGACGAGCGGCGGACGGGUGAGUAACGCAUAGGAAUUUACCCGGUAGUGGGGGAUAACCUGGGGAAACUCAGGCUAAUACCGCAUACGUCCUACGGGAGAAAGGGGGCUUUGGCUCCCGCUAUCGGAUGAGCCUAUGCCGGAUUAGCUGGUUGGUGAGGUAAUGGCUCACCAAGGCGACGAUCCGUAGCUGGUCUGAGAGGAUGAUCAGCCACAUCGGGACUGAGACACGGCCCGAACUCCUACGGGAGGCAGCAGUGGGGAAUAUUGGACAAUGGGGGCAACCCUGAUCCAGCCAUGCCGCGUGUGUGAAGAAGGCCCUCGGGUUGUAAAGCACUUUCAGCGAGGAAGAACGCCUGGUGGUUAAUACCCGCCAGGAAAGACAUCACUCGCAGAAGAAGCACCGGCUAACUCCGUGCCAGCAGCCGCGGUAAUACGGAGGGUGCAAGCGUUAAUCGGAAUUACUGGGCGUAAAGCGCGCGUAGGUGGCUUGAUAAGCCGGUUGUGAAAGCCCCGGGCUCAACCUGGGAACGGCAUCCGGAACUAUGAGGCUAGAGUGCAGGAGAGGAAGGUAGAAUUCCCGGUGUAGCGGUGAAAUGCGUAGAGAUCGGGAGGAAUACCAGUGGCGAAGGCGGCCUUCUGGACUGACACUGACACUGAGGUGCGAAAGCGUGGGUAGCAAACAGGAUUAGAUACCCUGGUAGUCCACGCCGUAAACGAUGUCGACCAGCCGUUGGGUGCCUAGCGCACUUUGUGGCGAAGUUAAC
Molecule: ribosomal RNA, 800 nt
Filed under: Halomonas sp. Mg57
Lineage: Bacteria; Pseudomonadati; Pseudomonadota; Gammaproteobacteria; Oceanospirillales; Halomonadaceae
Description: bacterial SSU rRNA
Rfam family: Bacterial small subunit ribosomal RNA
Source: RNAcentral